Molecule: ribosomal RNA, 252 nt
Filed under: uncultured bacterium
Lineage: Bacteria
Description: partial 16S ribosomal RNA
Rfam family: Bacterial small subunit ribosomal RNA
Source: RNAcentral
ACGAAGGGUGCAAGCGUUGCUCGGAUUUACUGGGCGUAAAGCGACCGCAGGCGGUCUGAUAGGUCGGGUGUGAAAGCCCAGGGCUCAACCCUGGAACUGCAUUCGAAACCCUCAGACUUGAGUAUGGGAGAGGAGGGCGGAAUUCCUGGUGUAGAGGUGAAAUUCGUAGAUAUCAGGAGGAACGCUCGCGGCGAAGGCGGCUCUCUGGCCCAAUACUGACGCUCAUGGUCGAAAGCAUGGGUAGCGAACGGG